Molecule: ribosomal RNA, 396 nt
Filed under: uncultured bacterium
Lineage: Bacteria
Description: partial 16S ribosomal RNA
Rfam family: Bacterial small subunit ribosomal RNA
Source: RNAcentral
CCUACGGGUGGCAGCAGUGAGGAAUAUUGGUCAAUGGCCGGAAGGCUGAACCAGCCAAGCCGCGUGAAGGACGACGGUGCCAAGCAUUGUAAACUUCUUUUGUCAAGGGAUAAAAUGAGGCUCGAGAGCCUGACUGAGGGUACUUGAAGAAAAAGCAUCGGCUAACUCCGUGCCAGCAGCCGCGGUAAUACGGAGGAUUCGAGCGUUAUCCGGAUUUAUUGGGUUUAAAGGGUGCGUAGAGGGGCUGUUAAGUCAGUGGGUAAAGCCGGGGGCUCAACCGCAGACUGGCAAUUGAAACUGGCAGUCUUGAGGACUGUAGAGGUAUGCGGAAUGCGUGGUGUAGCGGUGAAAUGCUUAGAUAUUACGAAGAACUCCGAUUGCGAAGGCAGCUUACCA